Pongo pygmaeus (Bornean orangutan) is the source of this 1663-nucleotide long non-coding RNA. RefSeq lists it as uncharacterized. The record is from RefSeq and is a predicted model, not a curated record. The transcript is spliced from 3 exons. NCBI's taxonomy places the organism in Eukaryota, Metazoa, Chordata, Mammalia, Primates, Hominidae.
CUCGGCACAGUGUCCUCAGGGCUCAUCCGUGUCAUAGCAAGCGUCUGACUUUCCUUCCCCUUCCGGGCUGGGUAACGGCCCUUCAUGUGGAUAGACCGCGUUUUAUUCACUCAUCUGGCAACGGUCCUUUUGGCUGUUGUGAAUAAUGUGGCUGUGAACGUUUACGUCUUGUUCUGUUCAAAGCAAAACACACAUUUUCAUUCUUUCAAAAAUGUCCUUAUGUUUCCUGUCCAAUGCCCUGGACUCAGGAUUUGGGGGAGCCGGUCAUUAUAUCACACCCGGGGUUUCCGCUGGAAAGAGCCUCAAGCCGUAUGUGCUCUCCCGACGCCAUCCUCCCCAUAGUUGAUUGUUCAGAAUUUUUUCUCUUUGGAGGACUGGGGGGUCUCUCUAGCCUGGCCAUCCCGAGUCCAAGUUUCUUUUCCCUGACAACAGACAAACAAGCGAGUAGCCCUCUCAGUCCACGAGCUGAGCCUUCGGAGGCUGGGGUUGCAAACCCUGAUCCUUGGUGGGCUGGGGUCGGCCUCUGGGAGCCCCUCCUUCAGAGUGAGGGGCUGGUGCAGGUUUUCUCUUCUCCUCACCUGAGAGCUUUUUCUGCUGCCCGAGAGAAGAGGGCGAAGGCUCCAUGGCUCUGCAGGAGUCCGGUAAAGAGGAUGGGAUGCCGGCUCCUGAGCCCACCGACGGCCCCGUCCAGCGCUGACCUGUGGGAAAACGGCCUCUUGGCAGGGCUGUGGCCAGGCAGAAUAUUGAAGCAGAAGGAGCCAGACAGUAGCCGCUCUCUCAGGGUCUAACGCAACAGAGAGCUCACCAGGUGUGGCCGCAAGACUGGCAGCAGAAAGGCACUUUUGUAAGAAGAGGGAUGGGAGAAGCACAGAGGUGGACCUGGAAAAGUCAAAGAGAAGCUGUGGAUGGAAGCUCCGGAUGGCUGACCCCGAGUUCCAGCUCAAAAGAACAGAGAUGUGUGGGGUGGGAAACGCAGUGGAAAGAGCGGCCCGUGAACGAGGGUCCUCGGCAGCAGGACCGCCCUCCUCAUGGACAGAUGGCAAGUGCUGGGGAGGAGGUGGAGGAACGAGCCUGUCACCACCAGUGGGAACGUGGGCGGGUGCAGCCACUGUGCAAAACAGCCGUUCAUUCCUCAGAUAACAGGCACGGACUUCCCACACGACCCAGCGAUCCACACCUAGAUGUAGCCAAAGAGAACCAGAAACACGUCCCCAGUAAUACUUGUACCUGGUGUUAUUCAUAAUAGCCAAAAAGUGGAAACAGCCCCAAGUUCAUCAACAGACAAGAAAAUGUGGUACAUCUACCAGGCGCAGUGGCUCACGCUUUAAUCCCAGCACUUUGGGAGGCCGAGGCAGGCAGAUCACCUGAGGUCAGGAGUUGAAGACCAUCCUGGCCAACAUGAUGAAACCCCGUCUCUACUAAAAAUACAAAAAUUAUCUGAGCGUGGUGGCAGGCACCUGUAAUCCCAGAUACUCGGGAGGCUGAGGCAGGAGAAUCGCUUGAACUCAGGAGGCGGAGGUUGCAGUGAGCCGAGAUUGCACCAUUGCCCUCCAGAAUGGGUGACACAGUGAGAUUCUGCCUCAAACAAACAAACAAACCAACAAAAAAGUGGUACAUCUGUGCAGCGAUAUUAUGUGAAAAUAAAAAGGAAUGAAGCUCUGUC